Molecule: ribosomal RNA, 496 nt
Filed under: uncultured bacterium
Lineage: Bacteria
Description: partial 16S ribosomal RNA
Rfam family: Bacterial small subunit ribosomal RNA
Source: RNAcentral
GAUGAACGCUGGCGGCGUGCCUAAUACAUGCAAGUCGAGCGAACGGACGAGAAGCUUGCUUCUCUGAUGUUAGCGGCGGACGGGUGAGUAACACGUGGAUAACCUACCUAUAAGACUGGGAUAACUUCGGGAAACCGUAGCUAAUACCGGAUAAUAUUUUGAACCGCAUGGUUCAAAAGUGAAAGACGGUCUUGCUGUCACUUAUAGCUGGAUCCGCGCUGCAUUAGCUAGUUGGUAAGGUAACGGCUUACCAAGGCAACGAUGCAUAGCCGACCUGAGAGGGUGAUCGGCCACACUGGAACUGAGACACGGUCCAGACUCCUACGGGAGGCAGCAGUAGGGAAUCUUCCGAAAUGGGCGAAAGCCUGACGGAGCAACGCCGCGUGAGUGAUGAAGGUCUUCGGAUCGUAAAACUCUGUUACUAGGGAAGAACAUAUGUGUAAGUAACUGUGCACAUCUUGACGGUACCUAAUCAGAAAGCCACGGCUAACUACGU